UCCCGUGUGGCUCAGUUGUUAGAGCAUGGUGUUUGCAACACCAGGGUUGUGGGUUCAAUUCCCACGAGGGAC
This 72-nucleotide transfer RNA is filed under the name Salmo salar (Atlantic salmon). It matches the Rfam family "tRNA". From Rfam's summary of the family: Transfer RNA (tRNA) molecules are approximately 80 nucleotides in length. Their secondary structure includes four short double-helical elements and three loops (D, anti-codon, and T loops). Lineage: Eukaryota; Metazoa; Chordata; Actinopteri; Salmoniformes; Salmonidae. The record is from Rfam by way of RNAcentral.